AAGAAUUUAACAAAAUUCUCUUGCAGCACUUACAUUUCAUACUACAUAUUAAAAAUACUAGGAAAAAUAAAAAUACUAGGAAUUGGGAGGAUAGGACAAUAUCAAUUAAGGUGACCAAGGAGAAUUCAGAAAACCACAGUAUUAACUCUAAUCUGAAAACUCUUCAGAGACCAUGAGUCCAAAUUCAUCACACUUCAAAAUAAAGUACAGAACCCAGAGGUUUGAAAUGAGAGUUUUUCCAUGCAACAGAGUGGCCACACAAAAACUUCUCUUCUCUCCAGAGAGAAGUUUGGUCUCUUCUCUCCAGAACCCUCCAGUCACUACAGUAUAAAGCUCAUACAGCAGGGGUGCUAUCUGCUUUUCCAUCACAUUAUCCCCAGCAUCUAGGGCAACAUCUAGAACUAUAAUAGUUACUCAAGUAAAAUGUGUUGAAUGAAUUACCCUCUAUAAAGAACUUUCUUUUUAACAUUAACACAUCUAACACUUUUUUGAAUCUAAUUUCCUGUUCAUAACUUUGGUGCUAAUGUAACAUACUCAAAAAUUGAAGUCAUUCAAAAUUAAGAUUUUGAAGUAAAUUUGUAUUUACCUUUAAAUGCCCAUUAAACUAUUAUAAUGUAUCAAAUGUUCAUAAUCUGAUUUUUCAAUCAUCACAUUCAUUUAUUCUAUCAAUAGAUUUUUUUUUAAACAUGACUUAUGGACAACAUAAUGCUAUUAUUUUAAAAAUAUAAGCCACAAACUAACAAAGAGAGUUAAAUUAGAUACUUUCUACCAGAAUAAAGUCAAUAUAAUUUUAAAUGUNNNNNNNNNNNNNNNNUAAAAAGCAUUCCAAGUAAUUAUCUGGUUUACAAAAUAUAUAUUUUUUCCUAAUCUGUGAAGUCUUUCUUUGUUAAUAACAUGUUUUUACUAAUAAAAGAUGUAAUUUUUAAAAAAUGCUUAUGGAACUACUAUGCUUGGCUCUGCUAUCAUGACUACUGAGAAACUACAAGAUCACAUAUUCCUCCAAAACUCAACAACAAGCAUUUCAUAAGCUACUAUGGAAGCUAUUUGGAAUAGCAACUGUCUUCAGGUUCAAGUGAAAAUUUUCCAAAACAAGGCAUCCACUAUCUGACUACUGGAUGUGUUAACAGUGAAGUAUUACAUUUUGUCAACAAACAUGUCAGAACUAACAGAUACAGAAAGUUAUGUUGUUUCACAAGUGAUAUUGCUAUAUCAAGGUUAUUACUAAUGCAAAUAUUUUGAAAAGUACCCUUCCAGAAUUGCUUUUAGAGAACACAGAUCAUUCUUUUGAAUAUCUGCAAGGAUAGCAAAUCUUUUCUCUUUGAAAGUGGAAAAAAUAAUUUUAGAGGAGUCAAAAAGUAUUCAGGCCAUGGCUAGAGAAU
RNAcentral lists this long non-coding RNA (1379 nucleotides) under Capra hircus (goat). Its description in RNAcentral is "lncRNA (ENSCHIG00010016949.1)". Lineage: Eukaryota; Metazoa; Chordata; Mammalia; Artiodactyla; Bovidae. The record is from RNAcentral.